GCGACGUCUGCGGAAGUCUUUUCGUCCUAGAGGAGCGAGCAGUGUGGUAGCCGGAGAGCAUGCCUUACCGGUCAGCUCCUCUCUGGCGGAGUCCCGUUGAAUAUGUCCUCCUCUCGGCGGGAUGAGGCUACAGUAUUAGGAGCCUUACAGUGAGGCCUGGAGUGCAGUUUGUGGUGUUUGCCUACAAUGUGUUCUUGCUGCGACAUGCAGUUUCUGGUCAAUCAUGUUCCUUGAUCUGGUGGUGUUGUUGUCCACAUAAUGACUUGAGAUAUUGGUCUCUGUAUUCCUACCUAGUACGUCAGAUGGACACUUCAUGGAAAUCAUUUUAUUGAUGACUAUGCUUCUGGAGCUGAUGUGUAGCUGUACCAACAUGGAGUUUUUAACAGUCCAAAACCUCAAAGAGCCUUACAGAGGCCUGGAGUGCAGUAUAUGAGAUUCCAUCGGAUUUUUAAAUUGCCCCUGAGCUAAUGAGUGGAGUCUAUCUGCUGUGUGUACUAUACACCGUAGGACUCUGAUCCCCCAUAUCCUCAGUGUACUCUGAGAAGCUGCAGCAUGGAAUACUGAACAGGCGAAGAUGUCAUUCAAGCACUGAGGUGUUCGUUCCUAAACUGUGUGAGCUGUCUGACAUGUAGGUCAUCUUCCUGUUGGGGUGCUGCUGUUAGUCACAAAAUGACUUGAGGUAAUUGUCUCUAUCCCUAGCUGGUUUGUCAGAUGGACACUUCCCAGUUGGCGCUUGUAUGACUGUUCUGAUGAUUAGUAAUGUUCAACUGCUCUGACUUGAGGUAUGAAAUAAUCAAGCAUAUAAACUUGGAGAUGGCCAUCCUGUUGAUUUGUAGCUGUACACCACACGGAGGUUUUAACAGUCCGAAGCCUCCAAGAGCCUUAGUGAGGCCUGGAGUGCAGUUUGAGAUCUUAGUCUCUUCUAUACCAGAGUAAAUGACUAUCAGUUGAAGAGAUGAUCUGACUCAUAUGGUAGUAUUCUCUUUAGAAGGCUUUCCGGGAAGGAAACAAAUUGUCUUAACAGUGAGAUACUAUGGGCACAACAUUCAUGUGCUGUGGUCUACUAUACAAAAGAUAGCAGAACAGCUUCAGACCCAGGAAGAUCAGCAUUAUUAAACCAUUUUUACUGUAACAAUAAGACCAUGUAAUGUACAACCUAUUCACCUUCACAAGAAUUUAAUAUCUUCAACCUAAUGGGCUUACAAUCAUAACUUGCUAUUUUGUGUGAAGGUAACUUUUCCUGGCCAUGUUACUGGAUUGUUAAAGCAAAUAGUGUAAAAAAAAUAAAGUUUUUUUUGCAGAAAAA
Hyla sarda is the source of this 1306-nucleotide long non-coding RNA. RefSeq lists it as uncharacterized. Lineage: Eukaryota; Metazoa; Chordata; Amphibia; Anura; Hylidae. The transcript is spliced from 14 exons. The record is from RefSeq and is a predicted model, not a curated record.